ACGAGAUGCCCACAGUAGCGGCGAGCGAAGAGGGCAGAGGGCAAACCGGUGAGCUACGGCUCGCCGGGGUUGAGGACUGCAUUUAGUCUCAAUGGUCUAUCCGAACUACCUGGAAAGGUAGGCAAUACAGUGUAAAAGCCACGUAGGUUAAAGACCGGAGAGAUGAGCAGUAUCCAGAGUACCACGAGGCACGAGGAAUCUUGUGGGAAGCCGGGGGGACCACCCUCCAACCCUAAACACUGAAUGGCGACCGAUAGCGCAUAGUACCGUGAGGGAAAGGUGAAAAGAACCCCGGGAGGGGAGUGAAAGAGAACCUGAAACCGUAUGUCUACAAGCAGUCGGAGCGAAAGCGACGGCGUGCCUAUUGAAGAAUGAACCAACGAGUUACGUGCACUAGCGAGGUUAAGUGGAAGACACGGAGCCGAAGCGAAAGCGAGUCUUAAGAGGGCGGAUAGUUAGUGUACGUAGACCCGAAACCGCAGUGAUCUACCCAUGUCCAGGUUGAAGCGCAGGUAAAAUUGCGUGGAGGACCGAACCUGUGAGCGUUGAAAAGCUUUAGGAUGAGAUGUGGGUAGAGGUGAAAUUCCAAUCGAACGCGGAGAUAGCUGGUUCUCCCCGAAAUAGCUUUAGGGCUAGCCUCAAGUAGUAAGUAUAGGCGGUAGAGCACUGAUCGGGCUAGGGGCCAUAAAGGUUACCGAACCCUGUCAAACUCCGAAUGGUUAUACUGUAGAGCUUGGGAGUCAGACUACGAGUGAUAAGAUCCGUGGUCAAAAGGGAAACAGCCCAGACCACCAGCUAAGGUCCCCAAUGUCGUACUAAGUGGAAAAGGAUGUGGGGUCUCUAAAACAACCAGGAUGUUGGCUUAGAAGCAGCCACCAUUUAAAGAGUGCGUAAUAGCUCACUGGUCGAGAGACCCUGCGCCGAAGAUUACCGGGGCUAAAGUACGAAACCGAAGCUGUGGCUACGACAUAUGUCGUGGGGUAGGGGAGCGUUCUGUGAGGGCUGAAGUCGUUCUGUAAGGAACGGUGGACUUCACAGAAGUGAGAAUGUUGGUAUGAGUAGCGAAAAGAAUGGUGAGAAUCCAUUCCACCGAAAGCAUAAGGAUUCCUGGGCAACGAUCGUCGUCCCAGGGUAAGUCGGGACCUAAUCCGAGGCAUGGAGCGUAGGAGAUGGACAACUGGCAGAUAUUCCAGUACCGGUAAUGAUUGUUUGAGCGAUGGAGUGACACAGGAGGGCAGGCAGGCAGGAGAUUGGUUGUUCCUGUACAAGCGUGUAGGAUGGGACGCAGGCAAAUCCGCGUCCUGUGAGUCUGAGGCGUGAUGUGGAGGUUCCGGAAACGGAACUGAAGCUGCUGACCCCACACUGUCGAGAAAAGCUUCUAGUUAGAGAAUUACCGCCCGUACCGUAAACCGACACAGGUAUGCGGGGAGAGAAUCCUAAGGUGCGCGGGAGAACCCUCGUUAAGGAACUCGGCAAAAUGUACCCGUAACUUCGGGAUAAGGGUAGCCGCUGUUGUGAAGUCUGAACAGACGGAGCAUGAGGCGGUCGCAGAGAAGAGGCCCAAGCGACUGUUUACCACAAACACAGGUGCCUGCUAAAGAGAAAUCUGACGUAUAGGUGCUGACACCUGCCCAGUGCCGGAAGGUUAAGGAAGGAUGUCCGGAGCAAUCCAAAGCAUUCGACCGAAGCCCCGGUGAACGGCGGCCGUAACUAUAACGGUCCUAAGGUAGCGAAAUUCCUUGUCGGGUAAGUUCCGACCCGCACGAAAGGUGUAACGAUUUGGGCACUGUCUCAACGAGGGACCCGGUGAAAUUGAAGUACCUGUGAAGAUGCAGGUUACCCGCGACUGGACAGAAAGACCCCAUGGAGCUUUACUGUAACCUGACAUUGGGUUCUGAUACAUCACGUACAGGAUAGGUGGGAGGCAUGGAAGCGAGGACGCUAGUCUUCGUGGAGCCGCCGUUGGGAUACCACCCUUGAUGUAUCGGAAUUCUAACCGUAGGAGUAACGAAACUCGGGACAGUGUCAGGCGGGCAGUUUGACUGGGGCGGUCGCCUCCCAA
Molecule: ribosomal RNA, 2062 nt
Filed under: human gut metagenome
Description: bacterial LSU rRNA
Rfam family: Bacterial large subunit ribosomal RNA
Source: RNAcentral